GACGAACGCUGGCGGCGUGCUUAACACAUGCAAGUCGAACGGUAAGGCCCUUCGGGGUACACGAGUGGCGAACGGAUGAGUAACACGUGGGUGAUCUGCCCUGCACUUCGGGAUAAGCCUGGGAAACUGGGUCUAAUACCGGAUAGGACUCCUGCCUGCAUGGGUGGGGGUGGAAAGCUUUUGCGGUGUGGGAUGGGCCCGCGGCCUAUCAGCUUGUUGGUGGGGUGAUGGCCUACCAAGGCGACGACGGGUAGCCGGCCUGAGAGGGUGACCGGCGACACUGGGACUGAGAUACGGCCCAGACGCCUACGGGGGGCAGCAGUGGGGAAUAUUGCACAAUGGGCGCAAGCCUGAUGCAGCGACGCCGCGUGAGGGAUGACGGCCUUCGGGUUGUAAACCUCUUUCAGCACAGACGAAGCGCAAGUGACGGUAUGUGCAGAAGAAGGACCGGCCAACUACGUGCCAGCCGCCGCGGUAA
This 478-nucleotide ribosomal RNA is filed under the name uncultured bacterium. RNAcentral describes it as "partial 16S ribosomal RNA". It matches the Rfam family "Bacterial small subunit ribosomal RNA", at positions 28 to 523 of the family's 1533-position model. The record is from RNAcentral.